AACGAACGCUGGCGGCGUGCCUAACACAUGCAAGUCGAACGGGGAUAGGGAGCUUGCUUCCUAUUCUAGUGGCGCACGGGUGAGUAACGCGUAGAUAAUCUGCCUGACGAUCCGGGAUAACAUCUCGAAAGGGGUGCUAAUACCGGAUAAGCCCACGGGGUCUUUGGAUCUUGCGGGAAAAGGGGGGGACCUUUUGGCCUUCUGUCGUCAGAUGAGUCUGCGUACCAUUAGCUAGUUGGUAGGGUAAAAGCCUACCAAGGCUACGAUGGUUAGCUGGUUUGGAAGAAUGAGCAGCCACACUGGAAAUGAGACACGGUCCAGACUCCGACGGGAGGCAGCAGUGGGGAAUUUUGCGCAAUGGGCGAAAGCCUGACGCAGCAACGCCGCGUGAGUGAUGAAGGCUUUCGGGUCGUAAAGCUCUGUCGAGGGGAAAGAAGUGUAUUGUGGCUAAUAUCCGCGAUACUUGACGGUACCCCUAAAGGAAGCACCGGCUAACUCCGUGCCAGCAGCCGCCGUAA
RNAcentral lists this ribosomal RNA (518 nucleotides) under uncultured bacterium. Its description in RNAcentral is "partial 16S ribosomal RNA". It matches the Rfam family "Bacterial small subunit ribosomal RNA", at positions 29 to 523 of the family's 1533-position model. The record is from RNAcentral.